ACGAAGGUGGCAAGCGUUACUCGGAAUUACUAGGCGUAAAGGGCAGGUAGGUGGUUCGAUAAGUCUGUUGUGAAAGCUCCCGGCUCAACUGGGAGAGGCCAACAGAAACUAUCGAGCUCGAGUAUAGGAGAGGGUACUGGAAUUCCCGGUGUAGCGGUGAAAUGCGCAGAGAUCGGGAGGAACACCAAUGGCGAAAGCAGGUACCUGGACUAUUACUGACACUCAACUGCGAAAGCUAGGGGAGCAAACAGGA
This 253-nucleotide ribosomal RNA is filed under the name uncultured prokaryote. RNAcentral describes it as "partial 16S ribosomal RNA". It matches the Rfam family "Bacterial small subunit ribosomal RNA", at positions 525 to 777 of the family's 1533-position model. The record is from RNAcentral.